UACGUAGGGGGCAAGCGUUGUCCGGAUUUAUUGGGCGUAAAGAGCGUGCAGGCGGCUAGAUAGGUCCGUUGUGAAAACUCGAGGCUCAACCUCGAGACGUCGAUGGAAACCAUCUGGCUAGAGUCCGGAGAGGAGAGUGGAAUUCCUGGUGUAGCGGUGAAAUGCGCAGAUAUCAGGAAGAACACCCGUGGCGAAGGCGGCUCUCUGGUACGUGACUGACGCUGAGACGCGAAAGCGUGGGGAGCAAACAGG
This 252-nucleotide ribosomal RNA is filed under the name uncultured bacterium. Its description in RNAcentral is "partial 16S ribosomal RNA". It matches the Rfam family "Bacterial small subunit ribosomal RNA", at positions 524 to 776 of the family's 1533-position model. The record is from RNAcentral.